Molecule: ribosomal RNA, 461 nt
Filed under: uncultured Glomus
Lineage: Eukaryota; Fungi; Glomeromycota; Glomeromycetes; Glomerales; Glomeraceae
Description: SSU rRNA
Rfam family: Eukaryotic small subunit ribosomal RNA
Source: RNAcentral
AAGCUCGUAGUUGAAUUUCGGGAUCAAUUUAUUGGUCGUGCUAUUGUACGUACUGGUAUUAUUGAUUCCUACCUUCUGACGAACCAUGAUGUCAUUAAUUUGGUGUNNNGGGGAAUCAGGACUGUUACUUUGAAAAAAUUAGAGUGUUUAAAGCAGGCUCACGCUUGAAUACAUUAGCAUGGAAUAACGAAAUAGGACGUUUGAUUCUAUUUUGUUGGUUUCUAGGAUCGACGUAAUGAUUAAUAGGGAUAGUUGGGGGCAUUAGUAUUCAAUUGUCAGAGGUGAAAUUCUUGGAUUUAUUGAAGACUAACUACUGCGAAAGCAUUUGCCAAGGAUGUUUUCAUUAAUCAAGAACGAAAGUUAGGGGAUCGAAGACGAUCAGAUACCGUCGUAGUCUUAACCAUAAACUAUGCCGACUAGGGAUCGGAUGAUGUUAAUUUUUUAAUGACUCAUUCGGCACC